CGGCGGACGGGUGAGUAACGCGUGGGUAACCUGCCUCAUACAGGGGGAUAACAGUUAGAAAUGACUGCUAAUACCGCAUAAGACCACGGUACCGCAUGGUACAGUGGGAAAAACUCCGGUGGUAUGAGAUGGACCCGCGUCUGAUUAGCUAGUUGGUAAGGUAACGGCUUACCAAGGCGACGAUCAGUAGCCGACCUGAGAGGGUGACCGGCCACAUUGGGACUGAGACACGGCCCAAACUCCUACGGGAGGCAGCAUG
RNAcentral lists this ribosomal RNA (259 nucleotides) under uncultured bacterium. Its description in RNAcentral is "partial 16S ribosomal RNA". It matches the Rfam family "Bacterial small subunit ribosomal RNA", at positions 96 to 353 of the family's 1533-position model. The record is from RNAcentral.